Molecule: ribosomal RNA, 1447 nt
Filed under: Klebsiella pneumoniae
Lineage: Bacteria; Pseudomonadati; Pseudomonadota; Gammaproteobacteria; Enterobacterales; Enterobacteriaceae
Description: bacterial SSU rRNA
Rfam family: Bacterial small subunit ribosomal RNA
Source: RNAcentral
CCAAGGGCGGCAGGCCUACACAUGCAGUCGAGCGGUAGCACAGAGAGCUUGCUCUCGGGUGACGAGCGGCGGACGGGUGAGUAAUGUCUGGGAAACUGCCUGAUGGAGGGGGAUAACUACUGGAAACGGUAGCUAAUACCGCAUAAUGUCGCAAGACCAAAGUGGGGGACCUUCGGGCCUCAUGCCAUCAGAUGUGCCCAGAUGGGAUUAGCUAGUAGGUGGGGUAACGGCUCACCUAGGCGACGAUCCCUAGCUGGUCUGAGAGGAUGACCAGCCACACUGGAACUGAGACACGGUCCAGACUCCUACGGGAGGCAGCAGUGGGGAAUAUUGCACAAUGGGCGCAAGCCUGAUGCAGCCAUGCCGCGUGUGUGAAGAAGGCCUUCGGGUUGUAAAGCACUUUCAGCGGGGAGGAAGGCGUUAAGGUUAAUAACCUUGGCGAUUGACGUUACCCGCAGAAGAAGCACCGGCUAACUCCGUGCCAGCAGCCGCGGUAAUACGGAGGGUGCAAGCGUUAAUCGGAAUUACUGGGCGUAAAGCGCACGCAGGCGGUCUGUCAAGUCGGAUGUGAAAUCCCCGGGCUCAACCUGGGAACUGCAUUCGAAACUGGCAGGCUAGAGUCUUGUAGAGGGGGGUAGAAUUCCAGGUGUAGCGGUGAAAUGCGUAGAGAUCUGGAGGAAUACCGGUGGCGAAGGCGGCCCCCUGGACAAAGACUGACGCUCAGGUGCGAAAGCGUGGGGAGCAAACAGGAUUAGAUACCCUGGUAGUCCACGCCGUAAACGAUGUCGAUUUGGAGGUUGUGCCCUUGAGGCGUGGCUUCCGGAGCUAACGCGUUAAAUCGACCGCCUGGGGAGUACGGCCGCAAGGUUAAAACUCAAAUGAAUUGACGGGGGCCCGCACAAGCGGUGGAGCAUGUGGUUUAAUUCGAUGCAACGCGAAGAACCUUACCUGGUCUUGACAUCCACAGAACUUUCCAGAGAUGGAUUGGUGCCUUCGGGAACUGUGAGACAGGUGCUGCAUGGCUGUCGUCAGCUCGUGUUGUGAAAUGUUGGGUUAAGUCCCGCAACGAGCGCAACCCUUAUCCUUUGUUGCCAGCGGUUCGGCCGGGAACUCAAAGGAGACUGCCAGUGAUAAACUGGAGGAAGGUGGGGAUGACGUCAAGUCAUCAUGGCCCUUACGACCAGGGCUACACACGUGCUACAAUGGCAUAUACAAAGAGAAGCGACCUCGCGAGAGCAAGCGGACCUCAUAAAGUAUGUCGUAGUCCGGAUUGGAGUCUGCAACUCGACUCCAUGAAGUCGGAAUCGCUAGUAAUCGUAGAUCAGAAUGCUACGGUGAAUACGUUCCCGGGCCUUGUACACACCGCCCGUCACACCAUGGGAGUGGGUUGCAAAAGAAGUAGGUAGCUUAACCUUCGGGAGGGCGCUUACCAACUUUGGUUCCCGGU